This 253-nucleotide ribosomal RNA is filed under the name uncultured bacterium. RNAcentral describes it as "partial 16S ribosomal RNA". It matches the Rfam family "Bacterial small subunit ribosomal RNA", at positions 524 to 776 of the family's 1533-position model. The record is from RNAcentral.
UACGAAGGGGGCUAGCGUUGUUCGGAUUUACUGGGCGUAAAGCGCACGUAGGCGGAUCGUUAAGUCGGGGGUGAAAUCCUGGAGCUCAACUCCAGAGCUGCCUUCGAUACUGGCGAUCUUGAGUCCGGAAGAGGUGAGUGGAACUCCUAGUGUAGAGGUGGAAUUCGUAGAUAUUAGGAAGAACACCAGUGGCGAAGGCGGCUCACUGGUCCGGUACUGACGCUGAGGUGCGAAAGCGUGGGGAGCAAACAGG